This 253-nucleotide ribosomal RNA is filed under the name uncultured bacterium. RNAcentral's name for it is "partial 16S ribosomal RNA". It matches the Rfam family "Bacterial small subunit ribosomal RNA", at positions 524 to 776 of the family's 1533-position model. The record is from RNAcentral.
GACGUAGGGCGCGAGCGUUGUCCGGAAUCAUUGGGCGUAAAGCGCGUGUAGGCGGCCCGAUAAGUCCGCUGUGAAAGUCCAGGGCUCAACCCUGGAAUGCCGGUGGAUACUGUCGGGCUCGAGUCCGGAAGAGGCGAGUGGAAUUCCUGGUGUAGCGGUGAAAUGCGCAGAUAUCAGGAGGAACACCAAUGGCGAAGGCAGCUCGCUGGGACGUGACUGACGCUGAGACGCGAAAGCGUGGGGAGCAAACAGG